Molecule: ribosomal RNA, 251 nt
Filed under: uncultured bacterium
Lineage: Bacteria
Description: partial 16S ribosomal RNA
Rfam family: Bacterial small subunit ribosomal RNA
Source: RNAcentral
CGUAGGUGGCAAGCGUUGUCCGGAAUUAUUGGGCGUAAGAGCAUGUAGGCGGCCUAUUAAGUCGGGCGUGAAAUGCGGGGCUCAACCCCGUAUGGCGCCCGAUACUGGUGGGCUUGAGUGCAGGAGAGGAAGGGGAAGUUCCCAGUGUAGCGGUGAAAUGCGUAGAUAUUGGGAGGAACACCAGUGGCGAAGGCGCCUUUCUGGACUGUGUCUGACGCUGAGAUGCGAAAGCCAGGGGAGCGAACGGGAUU